AAUCAACGCUGGCGGCGUGCCUCAGACAUGCAAGUCGAACGAUUAAAGCUCUCUUCGGAGAGUGUAUAGAGUGGCGCACGGGUGAGUAACACGUAAGUAAUCUACCCUCGAGUGGGGAGUAACGUCCGGAACGGACGCUAAUACGCAUAAUGCAGCGGCACCGCAAGGUGACAGUUGUUAAAGAUUAUCGCUUGAGGAGGAGCUUGCGGCAGAUUAGCUAGUUGGUAAGGUAAUGGCUUACCAAGGCUACGAUCUGUAACCGGUCUAAGAGGACGGUCGGUCACACUGACACUGAAUAACGGGU
This 304-nucleotide ribosomal RNA is filed under the name uncultured bacterium. RNAcentral's name for it is "bacterial SSU rRNA". It matches the Rfam family "Bacterial small subunit ribosomal RNA", at positions 32 to 331 of the family's 1533-position model. The record is from RNAcentral.